Long non-coding RNA from Tympanuchus pallidicinctus (lesser prairie-chicken), 1033 nucleotides. RefSeq lists it as uncharacterized. NCBI's taxonomy places the organism in Eukaryota, Metazoa, Chordata, Aves, Galliformes, Phasianidae. The transcript is spliced from 2 exons. The record is from RefSeq and is a predicted model, not a curated record.
UGUCCCAGGCCCUUUGCAAUGGAGGCAGUGGCCGGGGGUCCCCUGUAAGCAGGGAAGCUGACUCUUUGGCCGCUGCUGUGUGUGUGCCCAGCUCCAUUUGCCCAGUCUGCCCGCCUCUGUGAUCCCCCGCAGCACCGGCUGGAAGCGCGCCGUGCGCCAGCGAGGAGCCGCUGCGGAAGAGAGAAGGAGAAGCGGCGUGGGAACGCGGGAGGCAGGAGCGAGCGCGCAAGCAAGCAAGCGAGCGAGCAAGCAAGCGAGAAGAGGAUGCGGAAGCGUGCCGACGCGGGGGGGAAGGAGAGAGGCUCCCUGGGCAAAGCAGCCGUCCCGUUAGCGGGGCCGCAGUCACAUUCAGUCCCAUUGGAGUUUGAGCGUUGCCGGCGCCUUGGCCGGCUUUGUGCUGGGCGACCUCCCUGUAAGCAGGGCUCGGGUCUUUGCUUUUGCUGUAGUUGGCCUUUUGCCUUGCUGCUCCUUUGGCUGCCUGGGGAGCGUGGGCCCCUGUAACGCAGGGCGAGAGCCACCUCUCCGCACCUGAGUGGGAAACGGAGCUCGCCGGACCCCGAGGCCACCCUGUAAGCAGGGUAGUGCCGUUUCCCCGGCCCUCUUCCUCCUCCGGCCCCUCGGCAUCAUCGUUGCCUGGAGGUGGCCUGUCAGUGCGACGGCCCCGUACUCGGGGUGUGCGUCACGGCAUCUGGCCUUUGGCUUUAGCUGGGAAGCCCCUUGGCACGUUGAGGUCUGUGGCCUCCGUGCAGGCUAGGGACAGGUCACAGGCUCUUGUCUGUUGCCCGCGGUUGUGGGUUUAUUCCCAGGGUUUGGCUGCGCUGGGUUGUCCUUCCCUUUGGGAAAGUCGCCUCUGUGUGUGCGCGUUGCCCUUCCUUUCCUUGCUUGUGUUUGUGGAGUGAGAGAGCGACUGCGCUUUCCCUUUAGGCCCCCACAAAGAUGGCUGCAGCUUAGCUUCGACUUCCCUGGGGGGAACGGAGGACUGUGGUGCACGCCGCAAAAGGGGUGUUCCCUCUCAGUCCCGCGAGCGCAGCGA